This 490-nucleotide ribosomal RNA is filed under the name uncultured bacterium. Its description in RNAcentral is "partial 16S ribosomal RNA". It matches the Rfam family "Bacterial small subunit ribosomal RNA", at positions 30 to 507 of the family's 1533-position model. The record is from RNAcentral.
AUUGAACGCUGGCGGCAGGCCUAACACAUGCAAGUCGAACGGUAACAGGAAACAGCUUGCUGUUUCGCUGACGAGUGGCGGACGGGUGAGUAAUGUCUGGGAAACUGCCUGAUGGAGGGGGAUAACUACUGGAAACGGUAGCUAAUACCGCAUAACGUCGCAAGACCAAAGAGGGGGACCUUCGGGCCUCUUGCCAUCGGAUGUGCCCAGAUGGGAUUAGCUAGUAGGUGGGGUAACGGCUCACCUAGGCGACGAUCCCUAGCUGGUCUGAGAGGAUGACCAGCCACACUGGAACUGAGACACGGUCCAGACUCCUACGGGAGGCAGCAGUGGGGAAUCUUGCACAAUGGGCGCAAGCCUGAUGCAGCCAUGCCGCGUGUAUGAAGAAGGCCUUCGGGUUGUAAAGUACUUUCAGCGGGGAGGAAGGGAGUAAAGUUAAUACCUUUACUCAUUGACGUUACCCGCAGAAGAAGCACCGGCUAACUCCGUG